This 1248-nucleotide ribosomal RNA is filed under the name Triticum aestivum (bread wheat). RNAcentral's name for it is "partial small subunit ribosomal RNA". Lineage: Eukaryota; Viridiplantae; Streptophyta; Magnoliopsida; Poales; Poaceae. The record is from RNAcentral.
AGAUUUCUAGAUGAUCAUGGAGUGCUCCAAGAGAGAUUCCUUGCCAUUAAGCACAUCACAGAUUGCACAUCUGCUGGAAUUAAAGAAGCUUUAGUUGAUGUGUUGGAAUAUCAUGGUUUGUCAAUUUCCAAGCUACGUGGUCAGGGUUAUGAUGGGGCUUCAAAUAUGAGAGGGGAGUUCAAUGGUUUGCAAAAAUUGGUUAGAGAUGAAGCACCGUAUGCAUUCUAUGUUCAUUGCUUUGCUCACCAGUUACAAUUGGUGGUUGUCACCGUUGCUCAAUGUAGUCCUGCUAUUGCUGAUUUCUUCAAUUAUAUUCCCUUGAUAGUGACUCAAGUGUGUUCAUCUUGUAAAAGGAAAGAUGCAUUACUUGCCAAACAUCAAGAUGAAUUGUUAGAUUUGAUGGAGAAUGGAAAGAUUUCAGCCGGUACCGGGUUGCAUCAAGAAUCUAACAUAACAAGACCAGGAGAUACUCGUUGGGGCUCACACCUCAAAACCUUGCUUCGUAUAUUCACAAUAUGGAAUGCUGUGGUGGAUGUGCUAGGAAUUGUUGUGGCUGAUGCUCGGGAACACACAUGCCAAGCCAAGAACUUUUGUGAAACACAUGAUAUUGAUGUGCCAAACAUGGAUGAUCUUGUUGGAACAAUGGGCCAAUCUGUUCGCACUAAGAAUAAGGUGACUCGGCUUCACUAUUACAAGGUUAGCAUAUUCAAUGUUGCCAUUGAUGCAACUAUCACCGAGAUGAAUCACCGAUUCAAUGAAGUUUCCACCGAGUUAUUGGCUUGCAUGUCUUGUCUUAAUCCAGCAAACAACUUUGCAAAGUUUGACGUUGACAAACUUAUUCGUCUUGCUGAAAUUUAUGAUGAGGACUUCACCGAAGCUGACCGGUUGUUGCUAAGAGUACACCUCCCCAGAUUCCUUAUGAACAUUAGGAGAAGUGAUGAAUUUAAUGGAUGCCGGGAUAUGUCCACACUUGCUCAUUUGAUGGUUGAAACAACAAAACACACAACUUUCCAUUUGGUAUAUCGCCUCAUUGAGUUGACACUCAUUCUUCCUGUAGCAACUUCAUCAGUUGAGCGAAUAUUUUCAGCAAUGAAGAUCAUCAAGACAGAUUUGCUCAACAAACUAUCAGAUGAUUGGCUAAAUGAUUUAAUGGUGUGCUAUUGUGAGAAAGAGAUAUUCAGAAGCAUUCACGAUGACAAAAUCAUGAUACAAUUUCAGAAAAUGAGUGAUCGGAAAGGACAUUUGCCU